CCUUCUCAACAAAAAUAGUGGUAUCUCUCUACUCUUUCUCUAUCUUCUCUCCCUUUCUCUCUCUAGACAUAGCCGCCAGCGGAUGCAAUUACCAGUCGGCUGGCAACCUCGGCACCACCAGUGUCGCUUCACAUUCGCCAACACCCUCCUCAUCGAACCAUCCCAAUGCCUCGACCGACGAGCUGCCGACCAGCGUAGACCCAUUCCCUUCUUUUCUCUCUCCAAUCCCUCUCUUCCACAGAACUACAAGCUCUACACCACCACCGACAACCUGCCGUUGGUGGAAAACAAAUACUAUACCACUCUUCUCCCUCCAUCCACCGUCCAAACAGAGAUAACAAAUACUAUACCACUCAGUUUUUGGGUUCGUGCACAAAAUAACAACAUUUGAGAAGACUGCAGGAUUGCAGGUAUUUAUGCUUCAGAAGAUGGGUUUAUGCAAAUUUGAUCAGUGUCAAUAGGCUUGUUGACCUUCUAAUUAGCUGACAAUUCCUCGCCUCCUUGAGCCCUCUUCAGGCUCUUGUGCAAUUUACUGAUGCAGAAACUGCUACUUCAACAAAGGAUGCCUUGGAUGGAAGAAGCAUUCCCAGAAUCAAGCAAUUUAGUACAAGCGGCCUCUUGUGGUGGAGAGGUCUUGCUCGAUUGUUGGAAGUUAAAGGAUUUGUUAAAUGAGUUGAACGCCCAUCUCAAGAAGACAACCAAGAGGAUGAAAGCGAUGAUGACUCUGACGACGUGAAUGAAAGUGAUUCUAAUCUUGAUAAUGUGGAUGAAAAUGAUUCUGACCUUGAUGGUUGGUAGUUUUAUUGAGGAUUCAAGUUUGAAAUAUUUUCUUUUGGACCAUUUAAGAAUCAUACAUUAUUGAUGUGGAUGUUUUAAAUUAUUUUUUUUUGUUAGCUGUAAUGAUUUACAUUAGACUUGUAUUGAAUGAUGUCUUUGAGAAUUAUUGAAGGUUUUGAAUAGAUUUUUGAUUAAUUGUGAAA
Capsicum annuum is the source of this 980-nucleotide long non-coding RNA. RefSeq lists it as uncharacterized. The transcript has 2 exons. The record is from RefSeq and is a predicted model, not a curated record. Lineage: Eukaryota; Viridiplantae; Streptophyta; Magnoliopsida; Solanales; Solanaceae.